AGGUGGGACUACCCGCUGAACUUAAGCAUAUCAAUAAGCGGAGGAAAAGAAACUAACAAGGAUUCCCCCAGUAACGGCGAGUGAAGAGGGAAAAGCCCAAAUUUGUAAUCUGGCUCUUUUAGAGUCCGAGUUGUAAUUUUGAGAACUGUUUUCUGUGCUGGACCAUGUUUAAGUCUGUUGAAAAACAGCAUCAUUGAGGGUGAUAAUCCCGUUCAUGAUAUGGACUACCAGUGCUCUAUGAUACAGUCUCUAAGAGUCGAGUUGUUUGGGAAUGCAGCUCAAAGUGGGUGGUAAAUUCCAUCUAAGGCUAAAUAUAGGUGAGAGACCGAUAGCAAACAAGUACCGUGAGGGAAAGAUGAAAAGAACUUUGGAAAGAGAGUUAACAGUACGUGAAAUUGCUGAAAGGGAAACAAUUGAAGUUAGCCUUGUUAUUUCCAGUUCAACCCUUUUAGGGUGUAUUCUGGUGAUUAACGACCAACAUCAGUCUUUGAGUGCUGGAUAAGGGUUUUGGAAAUGUAGCAGUCUAGGCUGUGUUAUAGUCCAUUACUUUGAUACAAUGCUUAGGAUUGAGGAUCGCAGUAAGCCAAUCUUGGUGGAUCAAUUUAUUGGUCUUCUUACUGAGGAUGUUGGUGAAAU
This 636-nucleotide ribosomal RNA is filed under the name Neophysopella meliosmae-myrianthae. Its description in RNAcentral is "partial large subunit ribosomal RNA". It matches the Rfam family "Eukaryotic large subunit ribosomal RNA", at positions 13 to 635 of the family's 3401-position model. The record is from RNAcentral. Lineage: Eukaryota; Fungi; Basidiomycota; Pucciniomycetes; Pucciniales; Crossopsoraceae.